RNAcentral lists this ribosomal RNA (2252 nucleotides) under Austracris guttulosa. RNAcentral describes it as "28S ribosomal RNA". It matches the Rfam family "Eukaryotic large subunit ribosomal RNA", at positions 28 to 1862 of the family's 3401-position model. The record is from RNAcentral. Lineage: Eukaryota; Metazoa; Arthropoda; Insecta; Orthoptera; Acrididae.
CGUAAUUUAGGCAUAUUACUAAGCGGAGGAAAAGAAACUAACAAGGAUUCCCCCAGUAGCGGCGAGCGAACAGGGAAGAGUCCAGCACCGAACCCCGCAGGCUGCCGCCUGUCGUGGCAUGUGGUGUUUGGGAGGGUCCACUACCCCGACGCCUCGCGCCGAGCCCAAGUCCAACUUGAAUGAGGCCACGGCCCGUAGAGGGUGCCAGGCCCGUAGCGGCCGGUGCGAGCGUCGGCGGGACCUCUCCUUCGAGUCGGGUUGCUUGAGAGUGCAGCUCCAAGUGGGUGGUAAACUCCAUCUGAGACUAAAUAUGACCACGAGACCGAUAGCGAACAAGUACCGUGAGGGAAAGUUGAAAAGAACUUUGAAGAGAGAGUUCAAAAGUACGUGAAACCGUUCUGGGGUAAACGUGAGAAGUCCGAAAGGUCGAACGGGUGAGAUUCACGCCCAUCCGGCCACUGGCCCCCGCCCUCGGCAGAUGGGGCCGGCCGCCCGCGCGGAGCAAUCCGCGGCGGGGUCGUGUCCGGUUGCCUUUCCACUCGCCGCGGGGUGGGGCCGUUCCGGUGUGCGGUGGGCCGCACUUCUCCCCUAGUAGGACGUCGCGACCCGCUGGGUGCCGGCCUACGGCCCGGGUGCGCAGCCUGUCCUUCCGCGGGCCUCGGUUCGCGUCUGUUGGGCAGAGCCCCGGUGUCCUGGCUGGCUGCUCGGCGGUAUAUCUGGAGGAGUCGAUUCGCCCCUUUGGGCGCUCGGGCUCCCGGCAAGCGCGCGCGGUUCUUCCCGGAUGACGGACCUACCUGGCCCGGCCCCGGACCCGCGCCGCUGUUGGCUCGGGAUGCUCUCGGGCGGAAUAAUCGCUCCCGUCAGCGGCGCUUCAGCUUUGGACAAUUUCACGACCCGUCUUGAAACACGGACCAAGGAGUCUAACAUGUGCGCGAGUCAUUGGGCUGUACGAAACCUAAAGGCGUAAUGAAAGUGAAGGUCUCGCCUUGCGCGGGCCGAGGGAGGAUGGGGCUUCCCCGCCCUUCACGGGGCGGCGGCCUCCGCACUCCCGGGGCGUCUCGUCCUCAUUGCGAGGUGAGGCGCACCUAGAGCGUACACGUUGGGACCCGAAAGAUGGUGAACUAUGCCUGGCCAGGACGAAGUCAGGGGAAACCCUGAUGGAGGUCCGUAGCGAUUCUGACGUGCAAAUCGAUCGUCGGAGCUGGGUAUAGGGGCGAAAGACUAAUCGAACCAUCUAGUAGCUGGUUCCCUCCGAAGUUUCCCUCAGGAUAGCUGGUGCUCGUACGAGUCUCAUCCGGUAAAGCGAAUGAUUAGAGGCCUUGGGGCCGAAACGACCUCAACCUAUUCUCAAACUUUAAAUGGGUGAGAUCUCCGGCUUGCUUGAUAUGCUGAAGCCGCGAGCAAACGACUCGGAUCGGAGUGCCAAGUGGGCCACUUUUGGUAAGCAGAACUGGCGCUGUGGGAUGAACCAAACGCCGAGUUAAGGCGCCCGAAUCGACGCUCAUGGGAAACCAUGAAAGGCGUUGGUUGCUUAAGACAGCAGGACGGUGGCCAUGGAAGUCGGAAUCCGCUAAGGAGUGUGUAACAACUCACCUGCCGAAGCAACUAGCCCUGAAAAUGGAUGGCGCUGAAGCGUCGUGCCUAUACUCGGCCGUCAGUCUGGCAGUCAUGGCCGGUCCUCGUGGCCGGCCGCGAAGCCCUGACGAGUAGGAGGGUCGCGGCGGUGGGCGCAGAAGGGUCUGGGCGUGAGCCUGCCUGGAGCCGCCGUCGGUGCAGAUCUUGGUGGUAGUAGCAAAUACUCCAGCGAGGCCCUGGAGGGCUGACGCGGAGAAGGGUUUCGUGUGAACAGCCGUUGCACACGAGUCAGUCGAUCCUAAGCCCUAGGAGAAAUCCGAUGUUGAUGGGGGCCGUCAUAGCAUGAUGCACUUUGUGCUGGCCCCCGUUGGGCGAAAGGGAAUCCGGUUCCUAUUCCGGAACCCGGCAGCGGAACCGAUACAAGUCGGGCCCCUCUUUUAGAGAUGCUCGUCGGGGUAACCCAAAAGGACCCGGAGACGCCGUCGGGAGAUCGGGGAAGAGUUUUCUUUUCUGCAUGAGCGUUCGAGUUCCCUGGAAUCCUCUAGCAGGGAGAUAGGGUUUGGAACGCGAAGAGCACCGCAGUUGCGGCGGUGUCCCGAUCUUCCCCUCGGACCUUGAAAAUCCGGGAGAGGGCCACGUGGAGGUGUCGCGCCGGUUCGUACCCAUAUCCGCAGCAG